Ailuropoda melanoleuca (giant panda) is the source of this 147-nucleotide small nuclear RNA. Its record names the gene U1. It matches the Rfam family "U1 spliceosomal RNA". Rfam says of the family: U1 is a small nuclear RNA (snRNA) component of the spliceosome (involved in pre-mRNA splicing). Lineage: Eukaryota; Metazoa; Chordata; Mammalia; Carnivora; Ursidae. The record is from Ensembl.
AUACUUACCUGGCAGGGAAAAUACCAUCAUCACGAAGGUGUUUUUCCCAGGGCGAGGCUUAUCCAUUGCACAAAGGCGACGCUGACCUCUGCAGUUUCCCCAACUGUGGGAAACUCAACGGCAUAAUUUGCGGUGGAGGACUUCUUC